AAGUCGAACGAUCGUGGGGCGAUAGCAAUAUUGAAACACGGUAGUGGCGAAAGGGUGUGUAACACGUGGGUAAUUUUCCGUGAGGUCUGGCAUAACGCGCUGAAAAGUGCGCUAAUUCUGGAUAUGCUUACCGAAGCAAUUCGGCAAGAAAAGCUGGGGACCGCAAGGCCUGGCGCCUAACGAUAAGCUCGCGGCCUAUCAGCUAGUUGGUGGGGUAAAGGCUCACCAAGGCGAUGACGGGUAGCUGGUCUUAGAGGACGACCAGCCACACUGGAACUGAGACACGGUCCAGACACCUACGGGUGGCAGCAGUCGAGAAUUUUUCACAAUGGGCGAAAGCCUGAUGGAGCGACGCCGCGUGGGGGAUGAAUGGCUUCGGCCCGUAAACCCCUGUCAUUUGCGAUCAAGGUGUUUCCAAAAAUAUUGGGGACAUUGAUAGUAGCGAAAGAGGAAGGGACGGCUAACUCUGUGCCAGCAGCCGCGGUAAUACAGAGGUCCCAAGCGUUGUUCGGAAUUACUGGGCGUAAAGGGCGCGUAGGCGGUAAUGCAAGUCGCAGGUCAAAUGCCACGGCUUAACCGUGGAAAGCUUGCGGGACUGCAUUGCUAGAGGGCUGUAGGGGGGGUUGGAAUUCUCGGUGUAGCAGUGAAAUGCGUAGAUAUCGAGAGGAACAUCAGUGGCGAAGGCGAACCCCUAAGCAGAUCCAGACGCUGAGGCGCGAAAGCCAAGGUAGCAAACGGGAUUAGAUACCCCGGUAGUCUUGGCUGUAAACGGUGCGCACUUGCCGCGAGCUAGGUUAUACUGGUUCGUGGCGAAGCUAACGCGUUAAGUGCGCCGCCUGGGGAAUACGGCCGCAAGGCUAAAACUCAAGAAAUUGACGGGGGCCUGCACAGCGGGUGGGAGUAUGUGGCUUAAUUCGAUGCAACGCGAGACCUUACCUAGCCUUGACAUCUUGACAGUAGCUCUGAAACAAGAGUGAGGUAGCAUACAAAUCAGACAGUGCUGCAUGGCUGUCGUCAGCUCGUGUCGUGGGGAGGAGUGGUUGGGGUUAAGUCCCGCACGAGCGCACCCCUUUGAUC
This 1077-nucleotide ribosomal RNA is filed under the name uncultured bacterium. RNAcentral describes it as "bacterial SSU rRNA". It matches the Rfam family "Bacterial small subunit ribosomal RNA", at positions 59 to 1111 of the family's 1533-position model. The record is from RNAcentral.